This 4528-nucleotide long non-coding RNA is filed under the name Capsicum annuum. RNAcentral's name for it is "long non-coding RNA (CANN_LNC014516)". Lineage: Eukaryota; Viridiplantae; Streptophyta; Magnoliopsida; Solanales; Solanaceae. The record is from RNAcentral.
UUUUUCUUUGCUUGAAAACUCUUCAUUUUUUCAGUAAAAAAAAUAAAUAAAUGUAGACAUGUUAUUUUUGACCCUCCCUCAACUUUUUUUUUAAAACCAUAAUUUGGGUAUAAAGCCCAUUUAUAACUAAAAAAUAUUCUUUCAUAAGGAAAGGGCCAGGUCCAAAAAUGACCCGGCCCAAAGAAAAUUAAACAAAUUACAUUCAGACAAAAUUAAAAAUGGAAAGCCAAUUUAGGAAACUAUAAAAGCCGAUAAGCUUCUUGACCAACAAUUCCUUAGCUUCCAACUUUGUUAAUCUUCAAGUUCUUGACUAAGCUGAACUUUAGGCCAUAAAAUUAUGUGAAAUCAGCUAUCCGCUACUGAAAUCAACGUCAUUUGAUGAAGAUUUUUGUUCAUCCAUCCUCUACAUAAAUCAGAUAAGUGUCUCUCCUUUCAAUCUCAUAUAAACACUUUCAUUUCCCUCUUUCUCCUUCUGGGUGGAUUGAACCUAUAACCCUCCCUCAACUUUAAUCUAUUUUUAACAUUAAAUAUUUAUCUUAGCUUUAUUUUAUUUUUAAUAGAUUUUAUUUGAUAAAACUAAAAAUAACAAAAAUAGUUAUGUUUUUAGAUACACCACUUUUAAAAAAAUUAAGGAAAAGAGAAAAUUUUACAAAAAAAGGGUCAAACCCAAUAGGAUAUUGCCACACAUUAUGUUCUAUUCCAAUCUGUAUUCGUGGCAUAUUCCAUUGAAGAGGAGAAUAUUUCAUGCUUCCUACCUAAAUGUUAUUUAUCCUUAUCUAAAAUUAAAGGGCAUUUUAGAAAAAGACUAGCUAAAAAUAAACACCAAAGACUAUACCUAGUAGGCUCUAUAAAUAGAAACCGAUAAGAAACCAAUAGAAGGGAGGAUCCAAUAAUUAAGAAAUCAGCCACAAAAAGCGUGAAGAAGCAGCCGUGAGACCCCUUUUACUUCUUCCAAAAGCCUUAGAGCUAAGAAAGAAAGAAUAAUAGGAAAAAGCUCCAAAAAAACAACUCACACAAAGACACCACGAACCACCUGAAAAAAAUCAUAAAACUCAUCAUUUAAACUCUCUGAAUAUUAUAUGAUGAGUUUCAUGGUGUUUUUUAGGUGGUUUGUGACAUUUUUUGUAUGAGUUGAUUUUUGGAGUUUUUUCCUAUUAUUCUUCCUUUCUUAGCUCCAAGGCUUUUGAAAGAAGAAAAAGGGGUCUCACGGUUGCUUCUUUAUAAUUAUUGUGAUUGAUUCUUAAUGAUUAGAUCCCUCCCUUUCCUUGAUUUCUUAUAGGUUUCUAUUUAUAAACUCUACUAGGUCUAGAGUUUGGUAUUUAUUUUUAGCUAGUCCUUUCCUAAAUGCCUUGAAUUUUAGGACAAAAUUAAAAAAAUUUAGGGAGGAAGAAUGGAAUAUUCUCCCCUCCAAUGGAAUAUGCUAUGAACAGAGAUUGAGAGAGAAUGUAAUGUGUGGCAACAUCCUAUUGGGUUUAACCAUUUUUUGUAAAAUUUCUUUCUUCCUAGAAAAUAAAAAAACCAAAGUAAUGUAUUUAAAAACAUGACUAUUUUUGUGGUUUUAAAUUUUAUCAAAUAAAAUCUACUAAAAAUAAAAUAAAAACUAAAACAAGUAUUUAAUGUUAAAAAUAGGUUAAAACUUGGAGAGAAUUAAAAAUCAUAUAUGUACACAUAUUUGACACCGGAUACAUCUAUCUUUGAUACCAGAUAUAUGCACCUGACUGCAUUGUAUAAAAUUGAUAUUAGAUACAUCAAACUAAUGUUGGAUGCACUAGAAGAAAUUGAUAUUAGAUACUCUAGACGGAGUUGGUACUGGAUACACUAGAUGAAAUCAAUAAUAGAAACAAACACACCAGAUACAUUAAGAAAACACACUAACAAAAAACAUCAUGAAUCACAUAUACAGUAAAUGGAUUUUUGAUGAAUUGAAUAAUAAAGUGACUCUGAAAUUGAUAGAAUAGAAUUUAUUUUGUCUUGGUCUUUUUUUAGCUCAAAGACAUGUUAUUUCCUCAGAGUUAUUACACCCUUCAUUUUUGUCUAAUUUAAAGAGAUUUAAAUACAAAAAAUAUUUUAUUUUUACAAGAAAAUAAAAUCGGACGCACGUGUACCUCAAAUACAUGUAUCCAACGUGUGUGUCUUGAAUGAAUCUCAGACAAGUUUUGUAACUUUUAAAACUCCUAUUUCAACUAGCACUUAUGUAGUAUAAUAUUGUGUUUUAUGUAGUUUUCUCCCUUUUUACCAGAAUUCAAUGAGGAAAUUACACCUAAUGUAUCCUAAAUGUCUGUCUUUAAACUUUUGUCCUCACUUAAUAAAUAAUUUUAAAAUGACUUUUACUUUAAAAAAAUAGCUGGAAAGAAGUUGUGCUAUCCAUCACACACAAGUUCUAACUUUUGCCUAUAAGAUAGAAUUUGUGGUCAAUAGAACAUGUUCACUAUCUUGAAUAUUCUGAACUUUUGCUUUAUGGGCACUCGUUAGAACUUAUGCCUAAUAUGGACGACAUACCUAAGUUUUAAGUUUUGCCUAAAAGAGAAUACUUCUGGUCAAUUAAGCAGGUGUACAAUUUUAAAAUGUCAUGAACGUCUGUCAUAGAGGCUAAAGUUAGAAUUUAUGUCUGAUGGACAACAUAUCUAAGUUCUAACUUCUGUCUAUAAGGUAAAACUUCUGAUCAAUUAAGAAAGAAGAAACUUACAGAUAUUCAAAGAGAAUAAUCGUGGAGCAUUUUGAAGAAGGACGUCAAAAGCUUCAACGGUGAAGAGUAACUUUUGGGUUUUUUAUUUAGGAUAAAGAGACUGACCAACCAAAGACUGAAAACAUCUAAAUCUACAAAAAAUAUAGAAGCUAAGGAAAAUUCUCGACCAUAAAGGUCGAAGUUGAACCACAACUUUGUAUAUCUAUGGAAACCAUAUCAAGAUAAAAAUAGAAAAAAUAAUCUUAAAAGAGGAAGAAGACACUUACAAAGUAUUCAAAGAGAAUAAUUGUGCUUAGAGACACUGGAGCAUUCUACAGUAGGACAUCAAAAGCUUCAAUGAGGAACAGAACCCUUUGGGUUUCCUAUUUCAAACAAAGAGACCAAUUAAUAAAAGAGUGAACAAUUAGAUCUUGAAAAAGAAUAGAAGCUAAAAAUGAUUCUUGACCACAAAGGUCGAAAUUGAACUGCAACUUUGUACAUCUAUCGAAGCCAGAUCUAUAUCAAAAAGGUAAAGUAAUCUCAAGAGAGGAAGAAGACACUUAAAGAGAUUUAAAGAGAACAAUCGCCGCUUGGAGAUACCGAAGCAUUCUGCAGCAGGACGUCAAAAUCUUCAAUAAUGAAGAGAACCCUUUGGGUUUCCCAUUUAGGACAAAUAGACAAACCAACCAAAUUGUGACGACAACUAGAUAUGCAAGAAAGAUAGAAGUGAAGAAAGAUUCUCAACCACAAAGGUCGAAGUUGAACCAGAACUUUGUAUAUCUAUGAAAACCAAAUCUAGAUAAAAAUGAAAGACAAUCUCAAGAGAAGAAAACACUUACAGGGAUUCAAAGAGAACAAUCAUGGUUUGGAGAUACCGAAGCAUUCUACAGUAGGACGUCAGAAGCUUUAACAAUGAAGAGAACCCUUUGAGUUUCCUAUUUUGGACAAAGAUACCAACUAACCAAAGAGUGACAAUAGUUAGAUAUGCAAAAAAAAAAAAGCUAAGGAAGAUUCUCGAUAACAGAGGCCGAAGUUGACCCAUAACUUUGUACAUCUAUAGAAACCAGAUCUAAAUAAAAAAAGAAAAGAUAAAAUCUGGAGUGAAAGAAGACACUUACAAGUAUUCAAAGAGAACAAUCACGUCAUGGAGAUACUAGAGCAUUCUACAACAGGACGUCGGAAACAUCAAUAAUGAAUAGAACCCUUUGGGUUUCCUAUUUUGGACAAAGAAACUAACUAACUAAAGAGUGACAACAGUUUGAUCUAACAAAUGAAUAGUGGCUAAUGAAGAUUCUCAACCACAAAGGUCGAAGUUGAACCACAACUUUGUAAAUCUAUAGAAACCAAAUCUAGAUAAAGAAGGAAAGAUAAUCUCAAGAGAGGAACAAGACACUUACAAGGAUUCAGAGAGAACAAUUGCAACUUGAAGAUACCGGAGCAUUCUACAAGAGGAUGUCAGAAGUUUUAACGAUAAAGAGAACCCUUAGGGUUUUCUACCUAGACAAAAGAUCGAUCAAAUGUAGAUUUGUUUCUCCAAGAUAAAUUUAUAUUAUUUUUAUUUGCAAUUUUUAGCAUUCUACACCAGGACAUCAGAAGCUUCAACGAUGAAGAGAACCCUUUGGGUUUCCUAUUUUGGAAAUAGAGACCAACUACUAAAGAGUGACAACAACUAGAUCGAACAAAUUAAUAGUAGUUAAGGAAAUUCUCAACUACAAAGUGAAAUUCAAGAGGAGGUGAAUUGAAAUUCCUCGCAGUCGACCCGCCUUCAGAUCAUCACACUUCACAAAUAAAUUAAACUUAAGCAGUUAAGCAUGUAAAUAAUAAAGCAUAAAGUAAACUAAACAAAGAUUUAUCCGAGUUCAG